UUUUUUAAUUGAAAACUUGUAUGAAGGGUUGAAUGAAAUAUAAGCUGUUUCAAAGAAAAAAUUAGAAUUUUAUUUUUUAGUUAAAAAGCUAAAAUAAAUUUAUAAGACGAGAAGACCCUAUAAAGUUUAAUAUUUUUUUUUUAUUAAUUUAUUUAAUUAUUUUAAGAUUUAUUUAAAAAUAAUAUUUUAUUGGGGAGAUAAUAAAAUUUGAUAAACUUUUAUUUUUUAAAUCAUUGAUUAAUGAAUGAAUGAUCUAUUUAUAAUGAUUAAAAAUUUAAAUUACUUUAGGGAUAACAGCGUAAUUUUUUUUUUAAGUUCAUAUUUAUAAAAAAUUUUGC
RNAcentral lists this ribosomal RNA (338 nucleotides) under unidentified. RNAcentral describes it as "Cerotelion sp. NB-2020 partial 16S ribosomal RNA". The record is from RNAcentral.